UACGUAGGGUGCAAGCGUUGUCCGGAAUUAUUGGGCGUAAAGAGCUCGUAGGCGGUUUGUCGCGUCUGCUGUGAAAACGCGAGGCUCAACCUCGCGCCUGCAGUGGGUACGGGCAGACUAGAGUGCGGUAGGGGAGAUUGGAAUUCCUGGUGUAGCGGUGGAAUGCGCAGAUAUCAGGAGGAACACCGAUGGCGAAGGCAGAUCUCAGGGCCGUAACUGACGCUGAGGAGCGAAAGCGUGGGGAGCGAACAGG
Molecule: ribosomal RNA, 253 nt
Filed under: uncultured bacterium
Lineage: Bacteria
Description: partial 16S ribosomal RNA
Rfam family: Bacterial small subunit ribosomal RNA
Source: RNAcentral